RNAcentral lists this ribosomal RNA (498 nucleotides) under uncultured bacterium. Its description in RNAcentral is "partial 16S ribosomal RNA". It matches the Rfam family "Bacterial small subunit ribosomal RNA", at positions 28 to 508 of the family's 1533-position model. The record is from RNAcentral.
GAUGAACGCUGGCGGCGUGCCUAAUACAUGCAAGUCGAGCGAACGGACGAGAAGCUUGCUUCUCUGAUGUUAGCGGCGGACGGGUGAGUAACACGUGGAUAACCUACCUAUAAGACUGGGAUAACUUCGGGAAACCGGAGCUAAUACCGGAUAAUAUUUUGAACCGCAUGGUUCAAAAGUAAAAGACGGUCUUGCUGUCACUUAUAGAUGGAUCCGCGCUGCAUUAGCUAGUUGGUAAGGUAACGGCUUACCAAGGCAACGAUGCAUAGCCGACCUGAGAGGGUGAUCGGCCACACUGGAACUGAGACACGGUCCAGACUCCUACGGGAGGCAGCAGUAGGGAAUCUUCCGCAAUGGGCGAAAGCCUGACGGAGCAACGCCGCGUGAGUGAUGAAGGUCUUCGGAUCGUAAAACUCUGUUAUUAGGGAAGAACAUAUGUGUAAGUAACUGUGCACAUCUUGACGGUACCUAAUCAGAAAGCCACGGCUAACUACGUGC